This is a long non-coding RNA of Tachysurus fulvidraco (yellow catfish), 617 nucleotides long. RefSeq lists it as uncharacterized. The record is from RefSeq and is a predicted model, not a curated record. The transcript has 2 exons. NCBI's taxonomy places the organism in Eukaryota, Metazoa, Chordata, Actinopteri, Siluriformes, Bagridae.
UGACCGUUUGUGUGAGAUUAGGGUCAACAGUGUGCUAAGCUAGCAGAGUUAUUCAUAUCACGCUUUCUAAAAGGUUUCUGUGGUAAAAUUUUACCUCAGUGCCCUUCAGCAUGAUUCGACACCAUUUCACAGUCACAGAACGUAUACUGACCGUAUUGUGUGAGCUUCGUGGUUCCUGAAAGGACCCGAGCGUGCGGCGUGAAGAAGAAGAAGACGUCAUCAAAGCCAAUGGCGAACAACGAAGUGUUGUAUCGACACUGUGAUCGCUGCAGUCCAGAUGCAUUCUGGGCCGUCAGAGUACCGGGGACGCAAGCCGACGCUCUGAUCGACACAAAUCCGUUUCCUCAUGACGGCAUUCAAAAAACUUCAGACCAGAAGUGCACUCUCAGGAUGUAUCGUGUUCUCACCUGCGCUCAUCCGGGUCCAGGUGGAGAAGAGGAAGAUCGGCAACUCCUGUCCAGCUACAGCGAAUGUGCGUCAUGUAGUCGUUCCGACAUUCCAAGGAAUCCAAAGCAGGAGAUUCUGGAGAAAACCGCACAAAUUCACAAAUGAUCAGAUGAAACCAUCGUAAACAAGUGAUAUCGAAAUAUAAUAAAGCUGUGGUGUUAAUCCAAUAA